This 235-nucleotide ribosomal RNA is filed under the name uncultured bacterium. RNAcentral describes it as "partial 16S ribosomal RNA". It matches the Rfam family "Bacterial small subunit ribosomal RNA", at positions 99 to 334 of the family's 1533-position model. The record is from RNAcentral.
CGCACGGGUGAGUAACACGUAUCCAACCUGCCGUCUACUCUUGGACAGCCUUCUGAAAGGAAGAUUAAUACAAGAUGGCAUCAUGAGUCCACAUGUUCACAUGAUUAAAGGUAUUCCGGUAGACGAUGGGGAUGCGUUCCAUUAGAUAGUAGGCGGGGUAACGGCCCACCUAGUCUUCGAUGGAUAGGGGUUCUGAGGGGAAGGUCCCCCACAUUGGAACUGAGACACGGUCCAA